RNAcentral lists this ribosomal RNA (274 nucleotides) under Astrosyne radiata. RNAcentral's name for it is "partial Bacterial small subunit ribosomal RNA". It matches the Rfam family "Bacterial small subunit ribosomal RNA", at positions 49 to 316 of the family's 1533-position model. The record is from RNAcentral. Lineage: Eukaryota; Bacillariophyta; Fragilariophyceae; Cyclophorales; Cyclophoraceae.
UAAUACAUGCAAUUCGUGGGGCAGCAGCUCUGUAGCAAUACAGAGGCUGGCGACCGGCAAACGGGUGCGGAACACGUACGCAACCUACCCAAAACUGGGGAAUAGCCCGGGGAAACCCGGAUUAAUACCUCGUAACAUAAUGAAGUGGCAUCACUUUAUUAUUAUAGCUCAGGCGGUUUUGGAUGGGCGUGCGCCUGAUUAGGUAGUUGGUAGGGUAACGGCCUACCAAGCCUUCGAUCAGUAACUGGUGUGAGAGCACGACCAGUCACACGGG